CGGAACAGAAGAAGCACAUAAUCGAUAAAUGUAUGGAUUAGCAUUUGCUUACAAUGAAACUGCAAACAAGAAGACGAUUUGAUACCUGCUGCAUUUUGGUGCAUCAGAAUUAAGCAAUGGUGUUAGCUAAAGCUAUAGACAAACGUCCUGAUCUCAAGACUAAGGCUGCUGAGACAAAUAAAGCACCAAAGAUAGAUCCAAGAUCAAAGGCCAUUGUUCAAAGCAUGCUUGAUAACUCACCAGAGUUACAAAUUGGACUAAGUUUAGCGCAACAGCACUACAACUUAUUGACAGCGGCCAUCUACAACAACGAAAAUCACUAAUGGCUCCUUGUCACAGAAUGAGGCUGCUGGUGGUGGCAGCCCAUAUUCAGAAACAUAAACAUUGGUAUUUGUCUUAUUGCAUUAUGUAAAGAAGUACUUAUUUUUAUGUUUCCACUUUUCUACUUUUUUUUAAAAAUCAUCUCCUACAGGUUAUUCAGCAUAGUACCUACCUUAGUCUUGGUUUACAUUUUGCUGCAUCAGAAUUAAGCAACGAUGUUAGGCAAACAGCAGUUUUGGCAUUUAGUUAGUUUCUCUUACAUUCAGGCUUGGCACGCACUUAUGGUUUAUGUUCUGGACUAUAAAAAUUUGACACCAAACCUUUACUUCUCCAAACAAGUUUUCAUAUUAUGUCUUUGCUCUUAACUUUUUCUAGCCUUCUACAAGAAUCAAUGAAUAUGCACAGAUUCAAUAAUUCAUCUAAUUGAGUUGCUAACCUUAAAAUACACAUGUUAUUGCUGAAGCCUUUAACAUCAGAUGUAAUUGAUUUUAUUCAUGAAGAAGCUUUUAUAACAAUGACCUGAGUGAUUCCACUGUUAAUGCAUUCAGGUAAUUGGAAAAAAUUAUUCUGGUUAAGCAUGAGGAUGCUAUGAACGAGAUCCAUAAAUUGCUUUGAAAGACAAAACAUAACAAAGUAACUGCAG
Coffea eugenioides is the source of this 964-nucleotide long non-coding RNA. RefSeq lists it as uncharacterized. The record is from RefSeq and is a predicted model, not a curated record. NCBI's taxonomy places the organism in Eukaryota, Viridiplantae, Streptophyta, Magnoliopsida, Gentianales, Rubiaceae. The transcript is spliced from 3 exons.